RNAcentral lists this transfer RNA (60 nucleotides) under Trocnadella arisana. Its description in RNAcentral is "tRNA-Cys". The record is from RNAcentral. Lineage: Eukaryota; Metazoa; Arthropoda; Insecta; Hemiptera; Cicadellidae.
GGUUUUAUAAUUUAAUAAAGAAUUUUAAUUUGCAAAAUUAACAGUGUUAUUCUAAGACCU